UACGUAGGGCGCAAGCGUUGUCCGGAAUUAUUGGGCGUAAAGAGCUCGUAGGCGGUCUGUUGCGUCUGCUGUGAAAACUCGGGGCUUAACCCCGAGCCUGCAGUGGAUACGGGCAGACUAGAGGUAGGUAGGGGAGAAUGGAAUUCCCGGUGUAGCGGUGAAAUGCGCAGAUAUCAGGAGGAACACCGAUGGCGAAGGCAGGUCUCUGGGCCACUACUGACGCUGAGAAGCGAAAGCAUGGGGAGCGAACAGG
Molecule: ribosomal RNA, 253 nt
Filed under: uncultured bacterium
Lineage: Bacteria
Description: partial 16S ribosomal RNA
Rfam family: Bacterial small subunit ribosomal RNA
Source: RNAcentral